Molecule: long non-coding RNA, 790 nt
Organism: Chelonia mydas (Green sea turtle)
Lineage: Eukaryota; Metazoa; Chordata; Testudines; Cheloniidae
Exons: 2
Source: RefSeq, a predicted model, not a curated record
AUGAGAGUUGACAAUGCUUGGACACGUAGUCAAGUGUGGAUGCAGAUUGCCCCAUGCUGCCACCCUUGCCAUCAAGGGGAAGAGGGGAUUGAUUCCUGCCAACAAGGGCUGGAAGUUGAGCCCAAGAAAAGGCUGUUGUGGAAGAGGACAGACCCUGUGAAGAAGGGCUGUGCCUGGCAGGAGUUGGGUGGAGGAUUGGCUUUUCUUUUUGUUUCCUUUUGGAUUCCAGUUGUCUCUGGAUGGGGUGGACUUUCACAACUUACUUGGAAAGCAAAAUCAGCUCAGAGCUGGUGGUCGACCAUUUGAGAGAGGGAAACUGAGGCAGUGGAUGGUCCCAACGCCAGACUGGCUCUUUUCAUCAAAUACCAUCCUCUUUGUGGACCAGGCACUAGAGGGCGAUGAGACACACACACUGGAUUUCAUAGCUAUUUGCUGACGUGGAGGAACAUAAAGACUCUGGAAUCUUGGGUUCAGUUCCAGCUUCUGGAGGGGUGUGUGUUUUAGAGGGCACAGACCUGUCUGCCACCCUAAAGUCUGCCCUUGUGCUAGUUCUGUCACCCUGCCUUCCAAUUCUGAUAUUGUUACCCUCCCAGUCUCUUGCUCUGGGCUCCUCAUCCAAGUCAUUGCAGUAAAUCGAUGUUAAAACAAAGGGAGUUCUCUUUUAAUCUGCUCUAAUGAAUAGAGCAUUUCUCUGUAUUCUGAAGCCACCAGGAAUUGGAAUUUAUUAGUAUAUGUGGUUCUGAGCACGUUGUGAGUUUAAAAAUAAAAAGUACAGAAAUAUGAGACUGCA